UACGUAGGGUGCAGGCGUUAAUCGGAAUUACUGGGCGUAAAGCGUGCGCAGGCGGUUUGCUAAGACAGGUGUGAAAUCCCCGGGCUUAACCUGGGAACUGCGCUUGUAACUGGCAAGCUUGAGUGUGGCAGAGGGGGGUGGAAUUCCACGUGUAGCAGUGAAAUGCGUAGAGAUGUGGAGGAACACCGAUGGCGAAGGCAAUCCCCUGGGCCUGCACUGACGCUCAUGCACGAAAGCGUGGGGAGCAAACAGG
Molecule: ribosomal RNA, 253 nt
Filed under: uncultured bacterium
Lineage: Bacteria
Description: partial 16S ribosomal RNA
Rfam family: Bacterial small subunit ribosomal RNA
Source: RNAcentral